GAUGAAGAACGUAGCGAAAUGCGAUAAGUAAUGUGAAUUGCAGAAUUCAGUGAAUCAUCGAAUCUUUGAACGCACAUUGCGCCCCCUGGUAUUCCGGGGGGCAUGCCUGUUCGAGCGUCAUUUCACCACUCAAGCCUCGCUUGGUAUUGGGCAACGCGGUCCGCCGCGUGCCUCAAAUCGACCGGCUGGGUCUUCUGUCCCCUAAGCGUUGUGGAAACUAUUCGCUAAAGGGUGUUCGGGAGGCUACGCCGUAAAACAACCCCAUUUCUAAGGUUGACCUCGGAUCAGGUAGGGAUACCCACUGAACUUAAGCAUAUCAAUGAGCGGAGGA
RNAcentral lists this unclassified non-coding RNA (331 nucleotides) under soil metagenome. Its description in RNAcentral is "partial contains 5.8S ribosomal RNA, internal transcribed spacer 2, and large subunit ribosomal RNA". The stretch from base 1 to 120 matches the Rfam family "5.8S ribosomal RNA", at positions 35 to 154 of the family's 154-position model. The record is from RNAcentral.